Molecule: long non-coding RNA, 934 nt
Filed under: Rattus norvegicus (Norway rat)
Lineage: Eukaryota; Metazoa; Chordata; Mammalia; Rodentia; Muridae
Description: long non-coding RNA NONRATT024946
Source: RNAcentral
UCAGCGUCCUGCCUGCACUCGUGAUGAUGAGGGACCUGGCUCUUGCAGGCAUGCUGAUCAGCCUGGCUUUCCUGUCCCUACUGCCAUCUGGAUGUCCCCAGCAGACCACAGAGGACGCCUGCUCCGUGCAGAUUCUUGUCCCCGGCCUCAAAGGGGAUUCAGGAGAAAAGGGAAACAAAGGAGCCCCAGGACGGCCAGGAAGAGUCGGCCCCACAGGAGAAAAAGGGGUUUUAGCCUUGUAACCAGGACACCACGCUGCCCAUGGAGCUAAAACCAGUCUGUGACCAAACACGGAGGAGGAGCAGAUAUUCUAGAUGUGUCAGAGCCUUUCAUUACUUCUUCUUCAACACAUCCAAAUGAUAGUAUAGUCUCAGCAGCAGCAGCAGUCGUAGCUGCUGAUCCCGUGUGAAGCUAUGAUGCUAGAGGGUCAGGUAGCAAAAGGUCCCCUCUGCUGCUUUGGGUUAACUAACUCUGUGCUAAAUAACUUUAUCAUCCUGGGUUGUGUGAGGAUCAACUGUGUGCUUAUACACAUGUGCUUGCACACAUGUAUAGCAUGUAUAUUCACAUACAUGUAUAUAAUAUGUUUUAUAUGUGGACAUGCAUGCACACACAAAAUCAUAGGUGUACAUUACUGUUUGUAUGUUUGUAUACCUGUAUAUAAGUAUACGUAUAUAAAGUACCAUGUGUUUGCAUGUCCAUAUAUAUGUAUACAUGUGUACAAAUAUUCUACAUAUAUAUGCUUGUAUUUACAUGUAUAUUUGUGUGUAUGUAUAGAUAGCACACUGUAUCCUUGUAUGAACAUACACGUAUGUGAAUGAAUUUAAUUGUAAGUAUAUAUAUAUGUGUGUACACACAUAUUUGCAUAUACAUAUGUGAAUAUAAGUUUGAGGUAUUUCUACAUAUGCAUAAUUAAAUGUAUGUAUGAUUAUGAAGC